RNAcentral lists this ribosomal RNA (421 nucleotides) under uncultured Glomeromycotina. RNAcentral's name for it is "SSU rRNA". It matches the Rfam family "Eukaryotic small subunit ribosomal RNA", at positions 670 to 1092 of the family's 1831-position model. The record is from RNAcentral. Lineage: Eukaryota; Fungi; Glomeromycota.
GGUAUGUACUAGCUUGCUGAUUCCUCCUUCUUGUAGAACCGUAAUGCCAUUAAUUUGGUGUUGCGGGGAAACAGGACUGUUACUUUGAAAAAAUUAGAGUGUUUAAAGCAGGCUAGCGCCUGAAUACAUUAGCAUGGAAUAAUGAAAUAGGACGUUCGAACCUAUUUUGUUGGUUUCUAGGAUUGACGUAAUGAUCAAUAGGGAUAGUUGGGGGCAUUAGUAUUCAAUUGUCAGAGGUGAAAUUCUUGGAUUUAUUGUAGACUGACUACCGCGAAAGCAUUUGCCAAGGAUGUUUUCAUUAAUCAAGAACGAAAGUUAGGGGAUCGAAGACGAUCAGAUACCGUCGUAGUCUUAACCAUAAACUAUGCCGACUAGGGAUCGGAUGAUGUUAAUUUUUUAAUGACUCAUUCGGCGCCUUACG